This is a small RNA of Firmicutes bacterium CAG:227, 580 nucleotides long. It matches the Rfam family "ROOL RNA". Rfam says of the family: Firmicutes, Fusobacteria (1 example), Tenericutes (1 example). Environment (Cow rumen (57)) The record is from Rfam. Lineage: Bacteria; Bacillati; Bacillota.
UAUUUGAAUCAUACCUGCGAUCAACUCGAUGAAUAAAGUACGCCAGUACUUCGAGGUGUGUGGUAAAUCCAAUAGACCCGGAAACGGGUGAGGGGCGCCCAGUCAACCAAAUCAAGGAUACUUCUUUUGGAAGGCUGCCGGGGUUUAGUGAUAAAUCCCGGGAAGACGGAAACCGUCAACGGAAACACAUAUCGCAGAAAUGCCCGCAUUUAAAAGCACGGAACUUCUGGAUGCAGCAAUAGACGCCUACGGUGUAGGAGUAAGCCUAAGGGGUAUCAGUGUGGCAACUGAUAUGACAGAGGUAAAGCCAACAAUGCAUUCUGCCUUGAUGACGGAGAAAUCCGCCUAUAACAGAAGUCGCCGGUGAAAGUAGCCAUAUGGCAGAUUGACAAAAACUCGUUUAUUAAUCUGAAUGGACGGUGAAAUUUACAGGUAGCCAAUCCUGUGCAGGCUUGUGGCGUAAGCCAAGGGUAAGAAGUUAGGGGUCGCUCCCCGAAGCUCAGACUUAUCUUCCUGGUGGCAGAAUAUAAGUGAAGGGCACGGAUUGUACGGCGAAGGCCGGAUCGUAGGUAUGAUUCAA